CACAUUCACUCCAUUUCCCGUCAUGCUUACUUGCAACUAGUACAUCAAAUAACAAGAAGAAAUUAAAGAGCCAGAACUCUAAAGAUAAGUAAAUAUAAUUUGCAUUAAUAAUACCUCAGAAUCAUGAAUAGGCACCAAUAACUACAUAACAUUCUUCUUAUUUGAGUUUUGAUAGAUAACUUUACAGUUUUUGCAUCUAGAAGAAACGAAUGAUGUGUACAUCUUAACGUCUGUAGUUUUCUGGAUGUGCAUCUUAUUGCAGUAUUCAAAUGUUCACAGCUCCAUCUGAAGUUUUUUCAUUUGCCAUGUACACUCUCUGAGCUUAUUCACUUCGUAUUUCACAGAGCUAUAUGAAGGCAGAUUGUAGCUGCUAAUUUUGGCGACAAGGUUCUGAUCCAGUAAAAUAUCGGUUAUCUUCAAAUUAUUCGAAAAGAGGCCAGGGAUAAUUCCAUUAUGCAAGAACUGUAGGCCCUUUGCUACCCCUGUAGCAGCUGCUAUACGUUGUGUCCAGAUAUGUGAUGGAUGACAAAGAUAGCAACGACGGAGGAAAUGGCCCCAUAAAGUUGUUGGAAGAAAUAUCAAAAUGUUCAAGCUGAUAAUAGGACUGAACUUUCUCUGAUCAGGGACAUCACCACUAAAAUUAUUCUUCGAAAGUGAAAGUACACGAAGAUUAUUCAAAUCACGCAGUGUAUCUGGCAAAGGUCCAUCUAAUGAAUUGCUCUUCAAACUCAAAACUGCCAAAACUGAAAGUGAACCAAGGCCAUCUGGAAUUCCGCCAGUCAACCUAUUUCCAUCUAACACUAAAGUUUGGAGGUCCGUUAAGGAUGAAACUGUUUCAGGCAACGGCCCCCAUAAACCAAGAGAAACUAAUCUAAGGACUUUCAAGCUAGGAAGCUUGGCAAGCGCGUUGAGAAAUGAACGAAUGGAGAACUUUCUAGAAAUCUGUCUCAUUAUUCCAACUACUCAAAGCUGUUGGAUAGUUCAAAAGAUGUUGAAUUCUCAAUAGUGUUUGCACUUGAGAUGAUUGUAAUUGCUCUGAAUAUCUGAUUGAGAUUAGUACCAAAAACAAAACCAGAAGCUUUUCAACUCCCAUUUCUUUUCCCAUCACCACAAUACUGGCUCAACAACUCUUAUGAUAAAUGAAAAUUUU
Molecule: long non-coding RNA, 1150 nt
Organism: Solanum stenotomum
Lineage: Eukaryota; Viridiplantae; Streptophyta; Magnoliopsida; Solanales; Solanaceae
Exons: 6
Source: RefSeq, a predicted model, not a curated record